Cheilinus undulatus (humphead wrasse) is the source of this 141-nucleotide small nucleolar RNA. RefSeq annotates it as small nucleolar RNA SNORA15. The transcript has a single exon. NCBI's taxonomy places the organism in Eukaryota, Metazoa, Chordata, Actinopteri, Labriformes, Labridae. The record is from RefSeq and is a predicted model, not a curated record.
GCAUGGCAGAAUUCUGUAUUACUCAUGAAGUGGUAAAUGCAGUCAGACACCAUGCUAAAUUAUUAUUUUCACAUUCUGACUCAACUACAGGAUAAGAGCACCAGUGAUGUGCCUCGUCCUUUAGUCAGAAUGGAAACAUGU